UGCCGAAUUGUGUAAUGGUAGCACAGCAGAUUCUGAUUCUGCUUGUCUGGGUUCGAAUCCUAGUUCGGCAACCA
RNAcentral lists this transfer RNA (74 nucleotides) under Clostridiales bacterium. Its description in RNAcentral is "tRNA-Gln". It matches the Rfam family "tRNA". Rfam says of the family: Transfer RNA (tRNA) molecules are approximately 80 nucleotides in length. Their secondary structure includes four short double-helical elements and three loops (D, anti-codon, and T loops). Lineage: Bacteria; Bacillati; Bacillota; Clostridia; Eubacteriales. The record is from RNAcentral.